Molecule: long non-coding RNA, 199 nt
Filed under: Elaeis guineensis (African oil palm)
Lineage: Eukaryota; Viridiplantae; Streptophyta; Magnoliopsida; Arecales; Arecaceae
Description: long non-coding RNA (EGUI_LNC066165)
Source: RNAcentral
CGUAGAAGUCCGGAUGGGGAUCAUUUAUCAAGGAAGCUCGGUCGAAGCCUGCCUGCAAUAGAAAUCCAGAAGGAAUUCAUCCAUAAUGGAAGCUCGGGUGAAGGCUUACAGUGGAAGUCUGGCGUGGACCGCUCGUAGUAGAAAUUUAAAGUAAACCACUUGUAGCAGAAGCUCAGAGUCCGACCCUUGUAGGAGUUCG